AUGCUUACCUGGCAGGGGAGAUGCCAUGAUCAUGAAGGUGGUUUUCCCAGGGCGAGGCUUAUCCAUUGCACUCCAUAGCAUGUGCUGACUGCAUAAUUCGUGAUAGUAGGGGACUGUGUGUGCACUUUCCCUUG
Molecule: small nuclear RNA, 134 nt
Filed under: Moschus moschiferus (Siberian musk deer)
Lineage: Eukaryota; Metazoa; Chordata; Mammalia; Artiodactyla; Moschidae
Description: U1 spliceosomal RNA (ENSMMSG00000016011.1)
Rfam family: U1 spliceosomal RNA
About the family: U1 is a small nuclear RNA (snRNA) component of the spliceosome (involved in pre-mRNA splicing). Its 5' end forms complementary base pairs with the 5' splice junction, thus defining the 5' donor site of an intron.
Source: Rfam by way of RNAcentral